CCUACGGGCGGCAGCAGUGGGGAAUAUUGCACAAUGGGGGAAACCCUGAUGCAGCGACGCCGCGUGAGUGAGGAAGUAUUUCGGUAUGUAAAGCUCUAUCAGCAGGGAAGAAAAUGACGGUACCUGACUAAGAAGCCCCGGCUAACUACGUGCCAGCAGCCGCGGUAAUACGGAGGGGGCAGGCGUUAUCCGGAUUUAAUGGGUGUAAAGGGGUCGUAGGCGGUUAAUCAAGUCAGAAGGGAAAACCCAGGGCUCAACCUUGGGACUGCUUUUGAAACUGGGUAGCUAGAGUGCAGGAGAGGUACGCGGAAUGCGUGGUGUAGCGGUGAAAUGCGUAGAUAUUAGGAGGAACCCCGGUGGCGAAGGCGGCUUACUGGACUGCAACUGACGUUGAGGCUCGAAAGCGUGGGGAGCAAACAGGAUUAGAUACCCCAGUAGUC
Molecule: ribosomal RNA, 440 nt
Filed under: uncultured bacterium
Lineage: Bacteria
Description: partial 16S ribosomal RNA
Rfam family: Bacterial small subunit ribosomal RNA
Source: RNAcentral